RNAcentral lists this long non-coding RNA (225 nucleotides) under Capsicum annuum. RNAcentral's name for it is "long non-coding RNA (CANN_LNC015458)". Lineage: Eukaryota; Viridiplantae; Streptophyta; Magnoliopsida; Solanales; Solanaceae. The record is from RNAcentral.
UGUAUACGAAGGUUAUUCGAUAACCUCAGAUACAUCUCAUCAUUAUUAUUAUCAUCCUCAUUGCAUUUCAUUCAAUUAUGCAUCUUCUUUGUUAUAUUUAUGUGCUUCAUCUGUUGCAUUGCCUAUUUUAUGGCCUUUAUGUAUCUAUUUCUUGCUUAUGUGCUAUUGUUAGAACUGCUAGUGGAGACGAUGUGAGCUAUUGUUUGGGAUAUUUUUUGCUUGCAG